UUUGCUAAGGCUGAUGGCGACCGGCGCACGGGUGAGUAACACGUAUCCAACCUGCCGAUAACUCGGGGAUAGCCUUUCGAAAGGAAGAUUAAUAUCCGAUAGUAUAUUAAAACCGCAUGGUUUUACUAUUAAAGAAUUUCGGUUAUCGAUGGGGAUGCGUUCCAUUAGUUUGUUGGCGGGGUAACGGCCCACCAAGACUACGAUGGAUAGGGGUUCUGAGAGGAAGGUCCCCCACAUUGGAACUGAGACACGGUCCAA
RNAcentral lists this ribosomal RNA (258 nucleotides) under uncultured bacterium. RNAcentral's name for it is "partial 16S ribosomal RNA". It matches the Rfam family "Bacterial small subunit ribosomal RNA", at positions 74 to 334 of the family's 1533-position model. The record is from RNAcentral.